This 342-nucleotide long non-coding RNA is filed under the name Phoenix dactylifera (date palm). RNAcentral's name for it is "long non-coding RNA (PDAC_LNC016963)". The record is from RNAcentral. Lineage: Eukaryota; Viridiplantae; Streptophyta; Magnoliopsida; Arecales; Arecaceae.
AAUGUUCUUGUGGUUGCAACUUCCAACCCAUGAUGUAGAAAUCUCAUUUGAGCCAGCCUAGAGGAAACAACUCAAGCCCUUCAAUUAUUAGUGAGAAUUUUUACAGCUUUAAGUGCAAUACUAUCUGGUCGAACACAAACACUUCUGGCCUACGUAGAGAAAUCCUUUCAAACUGAAACAGUUUCAAACCAAGUCAUCAUUCAGCUAGUUAGCAUUCUUUUCUGCUGACAGAAUUCCUUGACUAUAACCUUUCUUGAGAAAGGAACUUAGAACUACAAAUCCAGGGUUACUCAGAAAUAUUACACAUUAAAGAGGAUUCAGAGUUCCCCUUGCAUCUAAAUG